RNAcentral lists this ribosomal RNA (460 nucleotides) under uncultured bacterium. RNAcentral's name for it is "partial 16S ribosomal RNA". It matches the Rfam family "Bacterial small subunit ribosomal RNA", at positions 338 to 795 of the family's 1533-position model. The record is from RNAcentral.
CCUACGAGAGGCUGCAGUGAGGAAUAUUGGUCAAUGGGCGGAAGCCUGAACCCGCCAAGUAGCGUGCAGGAUGACGGCCCUACGGGUUGUAAACUGCUUUUAUACGGGAAUAACGCGCCUUACGUGUAGGGCUUUUCAUGUACCGUAUGAAUAAGGACCGGCUAAUUCCGUUCCAGCCGCCGCGGUAAGACGGAAGGUCCGGGCGUUAUCCGGAUUUAUUGGGUUUAAAGGGAGCGUAGGCCGCAUGUCAAGCGUGCUGUGAAAUGUCCGGGCUCAACCCGGGCCUUGGAGCGCGAACUGGCGUGCGUGAGUCCGCGGAAAGCAGGCGGAAUUCGUCGUGUAGCGGUGAAAUGCUUAGAUAUGACGAAGAACCCCGAUUGAGAAGGCAGCUUGCUGCAGCGGAACUGACGCUGAUGCUCGAAAGCGCGGGUAUCGAACAGGAUUAGAUACCCGGGUAGUC